GGGGAGACCAGAGGUGAGAAGAGUUCUCUGUUCCUGGUCACUGCCCCCCCUUUUUCUUUUUUUGGUUUCUUGAGACAGGGUCUCGCUGUGUAGUCCAGGCUGGCCUUGGACUCGGGAUCUCCUGCCUCAGCCUCCAGAGUGCAGGGCUGCCAGGUGUCCCCUUCUCUUGUAGUGAAAUCUCUUCUGUGCUAGCCACUGUGGUUGCUGGAGGUUUGUUUCCUGAAACAGUUUGCAGGUUGGAGUCUUUCACAACCCAUUUGUUCCCUCCGCCCAGGCUGAUUCUUUAGCCCGUUUGUCAGCUGCCCGUGAGUCCAGCUUUGUUCUCAAACCAGCCAUGGCUUGCUCUCCCAUCACGGGCCUCAGUUCUCCCAGCCAGGCGACUGGGAAAGCCUGGCCUUAGAGGCUGCUGCGCUGGCUCCUGGCCCGGCUGAGCUGACCAAAAUAGCCACAGAAGAGCUGUUUGCACGGGCUUGUAUCUACUGAGCGACAUCCCUAGCCCCUUUUUUCAAAUUUUGAGACAAGAUUCCACUAAGUUUCCCAGGCUGAGCUCAGAUUUAGAACCCUCGUACCUCAGCCUUACCAGAGUGCUGGGAUUCAGGUGAACACCACCACUCCUCGCUUGAAACCUGUCUCUCUUGUAUUGAACUGAAAUCUGCCUUUUUAAAUGGCCGCCGCACAGUCUUGCUUUACCCCCGGGCCGGGUGUGAGGUGAGCACGCUGCAGAACACCCCACUCAGGCCCACUCGCCACUGCUCCCCCAACUAAAGACUGCCCUCUCCAAGCGGCCCCCGGGAACAGAGCCCCCCCGUCCCUGUGGGCGAACGUGUGCAGGGGACAUGGGGGCUGUUGUUUUUCUCAUCCUGAGACUGGAUGUUUAGAAAUGCAGACUCAGAUUACAGCGGCACUUUUGGCAAUUGUGUAGUUUGCACUGGUUCCCGUUCAGCCACCUGUCACCCUAUCCUGUACGCAAGUCACUUGGUUUUACCCUCAGCACGGCAUGGACUAAAACUCCACUGAGUGCUAGGGCUGCUGACCCCGGUGUCACAUGAGGGGCUGGAUCACCUGGGGAGAGGACCUCGCACAGGGCUGCAGUCUGUGUUCUUAAACACUGCACCUGCCAGUUUUGGUUUGAAACAAGGCCUUGCUAAGUUGCCCAGGCUGCCCUUGAGUUUGGGGUCCUUCUGCCUCAGCCUCCCAAGUCACUGGGAUUACACAUGUGUGCCCGUCUUACCU
This 1233-nucleotide long non-coding RNA is filed under the name Heterocephalus glaber (naked mole-rat). RNAcentral describes it as "lncRNA (ENSHGLG00100039338.1)". The record is from RNAcentral. Lineage: Eukaryota; Metazoa; Chordata; Mammalia; Rodentia; Bathyergidae.